Molecule: RNA transcript, 4496 nt
Organism: Anguilla rostrata (American eel)
Lineage: Eukaryota; Metazoa; Chordata; Actinopteri; Anguilliformes; Anguillidae
Gene: cpt1ab
Gene name: carnitine palmitoyltransferase 1Ab (liver)
Exons: 21
Source: RefSeq, a predicted model, not a curated record
AAAGAGGCGGCGCUUAGAGCUGUACUCGCGCUAUACCCAUUCAUACAGCGGUCAGCAACCUGUGAGGGGGUCCUUUUUGUAGUCCAGCAAAAUUUUAAUAUAAAACACAAAUUAAAACCCUCUGUCCUUGGUGAAUAGACAUAUACAGGAAGAGACCUGUGACCCCACACAGCCAGCAUGGCAGAAGCGCAUCAGGCAGUGGCCUUUCAGUUCACCGUCACUCCCGAUGGCAUCGACCUGCAGCUCUGCCACGAGGCCCUGCGCCAGGUCUACCUGUCCGGCCUGCACUCCUGGAAGAAGAGGUUCAUCCGCUUCAAGAAUGGGAUCAUGACUGGGGUGUACCCGGGCAGUCCGACGGGGCUGUUUGUGGUGGUGGUGGGGUACAUGUCUUCAACCAAAUACGCCCUGAUGGACCCCUCGCUGGGACUGACCGCCAAACUGGGGGCUCACGUCCCUAUCAGCAGGUACAUGUCCGAGCAGAGCCAGCGCGUGGUGGGCGGAGUCCUGGUGGGCACAGGCCUGUGGGUGUCCAUCAUCUUCAUCAUGAGGAACGCGCUCAAGAGCCUCCUGUCCUGGCACGGCUGGAUGUACGCCCGGCACGGACAGGUGUCCUGGAAAACACGCUUCUGGAUGGUAUUUGUGCGGCUGUUUUCUGGACGCAAGCCGAUGCUGUACAGCUUCCAGAACUCUCUGCCAAGGCUGCCUGUGCCCUCCGUGAAGGACACCAUGCAGAGAUACCUGGAGUCAGCCCGCCCCCUCAUGGACGAUGUGCAGUUCAAGAGGAUGGAGGGACUGGCCAAGGAGUUUGAGAAGACCCUGGGCCCCAAGCUGCAGUGGUACCUCAAACUCAAGUCCUGGUGGGCUUCCAAUUACGUCAGCGAUUGGUGGGAAGAGUACAUCUACCUCAGGGGACGAGGGCCCAUCAUGGUGAACAGCAACUACUAUGCGAUGGACUUCCUGUACGUUUUCCCCACCAACCUGCAAGCGGCUCGGGCUGGUAACUCCAUCCACGCCGCCAUGCUGUACAGGAGGAAGCUGGACAGAGCUCAGAUCAAACCUAUUUUCAUUCUGGAGAACAGGGUUCCGCUGUGCUCGGCGCAGUGGGAGCGCAUGUUUAACACGUCCCGCGUCCCCGGCGAGGAGACAGACACGCUCCAGCACGUGAACGAGAGCAAGCACAUCGUGGUGUACCACAAGGGGCGCUAUUUCAAGGUGUGGAUGUUCUACGACGGGCGGCUGCUCCUGCCCAGGGAGAUCGAGCAGCAGAUGGAGAGGAUCCUGGCCGACAAGUCCGAGCCACUGCCAGGGGAGGAGAUGCUGGCAGCGCUCACCGCUGGGGACAGAGUGCCUUGGGCAAACGCCCGCAAGACCUACUUCGGCCGGGGGAAGAACCGGCAGUCCCUGGACGCGGUGGAGAAGGCCGCCUUCUUCGUCACGCUGGACGACACGGAGCAGCGCUUCGACGCGCUGGACCCCGUCCACUCCCUGGCCUCCUACGCCAAGUCCCUCCUGCACGGGAAGUGCUACGACCGAUGGUUUGAUAAGUCCUUCAACCUCAUCGUCUUCAAGAACGGAACCAUGGGGCUGAACGCGGAGCACUCCUGGGCCGACGCCCCCAUCAUCGGCCACCUGUGGGAGCACAUGCUGUCCAUGGACCCUGUGAAGUUGGGGUACACCGAGGCGGGACACUGCAAGGGCGAGAUGCACCCCUCUCUCCCCGGGCCUCAGAGGCUGCAGUGGGACAUCCCGGCAGAGUGUCAGAGCUGCAUAGAGAGCUCCCUGAAGGUGGCCAAGGCGCUGGCCGAUGACGUGGACUCCCACAUCAUCCCCUUCGACAGCUUCGGCAAGGGCCUGAUCAAGAAGUGCAGGAUCAGCCCGGACGCCUUCAUCCAGAUCGCCCUGCAGCUGGCCCACUUCAGGGACAAGGGCAAGUUCUGCCUGACGUACGAGGCGUCCAUGACGCGGCUGUUCCGGGAGGGCCGGACGGAGACGGUGCGCUCCUGCACCGUGGAGACCUGCGCCUUCGUCCGCUCCAUGAUGAGCGACAACACGAGAGAGAGCAGGAUGAAGCUGUUCAAGGCUGCUGCAGAGAAGCACCAGCAGCUGUACCGGCUGGCGAUGACGGGGAAGGGCAUCGACCGCCACCUCUUCUGCCUGUACGUGGUGUCCAAAUACCUGGGGGUGGACUCGCCCUUCCUCAAAGAGGUCCUGUCGGAGCCCUGGAGGCUGUCCACCAGCCAGACCCCCCUCCAGCAGGUGGAGCUGUUCGACCUGGUGAAGCACCCUGAGCUCGUGUCCAGCGGGGGCGGCUUCGGCCCGGUGGCUGAUGAUGGCUACGGAGUGUCUUACAUCAUCCUGGGAGAGAACCUGAUAAACUUCCACAUCUCCAGUAAGCUGUCCAGCCCAGAGACGGACUCGCAACGCUUUGGAGAAAACAUCAAACAGGCCAUGCUGGACCUCCUGGAGCUCUUUCAGCUCAACAACAUCGCCAAGAAGUGAUUGCGGCGCUCCUCUCAAAAAAAUACAUUUUAAAAAACCCGUAAAAGGAAAUGCGUUCUAGCAGGAGAAAACAAGGCCCUCAAAAACCAACGAAUAUUAUCUUCCCUCGGCCUGCUUUUGUGGGAUGAAAUCAAAAAAAAUGAUAUGUUUUAAAAAAAUUGUUUAAAAAAAAAAAAAUAGGAAAAAAGAAAACAGGUUACAAAAAGAAAACGGUUGAAGAUUUUAUGAAGAAGUUGCGUUGGUAAUAGGGAAGUGUGGGAUGUGGGUGAGAAGUUAUUGUUUUAGUGUUUUUUGGCAGGGAGAGAUACCCAGACGCACUCUGUGAGAUUACAUACGCUGGUGCCUUAAUCGCCUCAUGUUCCUAUGGCUAGAAGGGUGUGGCCAGUUAACAACCUUAUCUCCGAAUGGUCUAAUGGGGCAUGGGGGGGGUGGGGAAUAUGACAGGAAAGGGUGUGGCCAGUUAACGACCUUAUCUCCUAAUGGUGUAGAGGGGGGCGGGGAAUGUGACAGGAAGGGGUGUGGCCAGUAGACAGGUGGCAGCAGUGAUAGUCUAUAGAGCCUCCUGCUCUGUCACUGUAAUGUGUGUACAGUGAUGAAUAAUUGUUGUUAUUAUUUUAUUAUAAUUUUUUUUCUUUUAGUUGCUCUUAUGACAUCAAGUAAUGCAUUUUGAUCUUUGUGUUUGUUUCUUAUGCUCAGGUUUUAGACGUGCUAGUGUAAAUGCCACUGAAAGGGCACUUUGGCUUGUGUAGGGUGGGAAUGUUUAGGGGGUGGGGGCGGUGGGUUUGGGAGGGUUGGGGGCGGGGGGUUUGGUUUUAGAGGGGAUAGCUGCAGGCAUCCAGGCCUGUGGGAGGCGCUCUUGCAGAUUUUUGGGCACUUUGUGUGUGUGGCCCCGGACGGAAACGGCUCCCAGAAUGCACAGCGGUUAUGAGCUGUGGCGCACCAGGGCGCUCCGCUAGCAGGUUAGUGUGGUGAGCUGCAGCCACCGACAGGGACCUGGGGGGGUCACCCUUCUUCCCGUAGGGCCCCGUGGGACCACGCUUUUCCAGUGGGGGCGUGGCGCUUGGCUGACAGGCUGUGGAUUGGUCAGGGUGGACAGGUCCUGAAUCGGUCCUAAAUCUGUCCUGAAUAGGUCCUAAAUCAGCAGCGGUCCCGUCUCCUCCAGUCCGCCAGCUCUCGCCCCCCUGGGCCCACCGGUUCCUGGGGGCGGUUCGGUGACGUAUGGGACUGUAGGGGCGAGGGUCUGUUUGGGGACGGGGGGACGGGGGGAGGGGGGUAGAGGGGUUUGCUUGCACGUUUUUCGGGACGGUUCCGUUCUGACGCCGACGCGGUGUGGAAGCGCGCGGUGUGAACGCGUGGCUCGUCCAGCACUAGUCUCUCCGCCUCGUACACAGGCCCGGGUACGAGGAGAACCUCCUCGGGGGGGGGCUGCAUAUGAAGAAAUGAGCUUUUCCACAGCGCCCCACCACCCCCCCCCCCCCCCUCACCCCCCCUCCCCACCCCAUCCCACCAUCACCGCACGACACUUCAGCUGGUUCUACUUUUAGCCACUUAUUUAACAGACAUUUACCAAGACGUUACUGUGUGUUUCCUAAUGAACUGUGCAGGAGUUCUGAGUUUUUCGGACAAAAGGGUUCAGUGAAAGUUGUGUGUGUUGGGGGGGGCGGUGGGUGGGGGAGGAUGGGUUGAAGAGCCUGAGUUUUGAGUUCUUGGUGGGCUGAACAGUGAAGUUGACAUAACGUUGCAUAAUAUUGUGUUUUAUCAUUAAGAAGAAAGGUUGUUUUUGAGCCAGAAUGGAGAAAGGUAUUCCAGACUUUUUUUUGCUUUUAAACUAUAUUUGUAUGACAUUUUCCACUGUAGAUUUCACGUUUACAUCGUUUGCAUGGUGUUUUGUCUCAGGCUGUACAUGGUGGCUUAAUUAUAAUUUUAAGGAAAAUAAAGACGCAGCUGCAGAACCAAAACAAGCAUUUUAACACAAUAAAAGUGAAUGUCAGCAGUCA